Nelumbo nucifera (sacred lotus) is the source of this 643-nucleotide non-coding RNA. The record is from RefSeq and is a predicted model, not a curated record. NCBI's taxonomy places the organism in Eukaryota, Viridiplantae, Streptophyta, Magnoliopsida, Proteales, Nelumbonaceae.
UGCACUAGCACAAAUGUAUUGAGUGCAAAUUCUGGUCUACUUUUGCAUUAGUUCUUCCUCUAGGAAACCCAUAGGACCCAUACUCCCAUAACAAUUCCUCUGUCUUGGCGAUGACGACAGCGGCUUCAGCCCCUACGAGAGCUGAAGUUCUCUAUCUCUUCCGUUCUCUGUUACGAAUCGCCCGGGAAUUCUCCGAUUACAAUAUUAGAGAGUACACCAAACGGAGAACGAUAGACGCCUUCCGUCAGAACCGAGACCUUGGGGAUCCUUUAACGAUUUCGUCGGCGUUUGCUGAUGGAAAAUCUCAGCUCCAAGUAGCAAGGAGACAGGCUGCUGUUUAUUCAUUGUACGCGCCGAAAGUCAAGAGCAUCAUGGAGAUUGAGCAUCACUGAAGAACUUUGAUCGGUUCUCGUGGGUUUUGCAUUUUGUUGAAGAAAGGAAACUGCUUUUGUAGUUUAUGCGAUAAUUCUUAUAUUUUCAGAAUUUGUACUGUAAGCUUACCUGUUUUAAUGAUGUAGCCUUGGGCGGAUGUUUUUACUGAUUUUCUGAGUUGUGUUAUGAGUUUGGCUGAACUUCAGUUGGAAAAGAUACGAGGAUUGGCAAUUAAUGGAGGAAAUGGCUCUUGAAAGAGUGGAAUUCUGAA